RNAcentral lists this ribosomal RNA (406 nucleotides) under uncultured bacterium. RNAcentral's name for it is "partial 16S ribosomal RNA". It matches the Rfam family "Bacterial small subunit ribosomal RNA", at positions 29 to 526 of the family's 1533-position model. The record is from RNAcentral.
AUUGAACGCUGGCGGCAGGCUUAACACAUGCAAGUCGAGCGAGCGGCGGACGGGUGAGUAAUGUCUGGGAAACUGCCUGAUGGAGGGGGAUAACUACUGGAAACGGUAGCUAAUACCGCAUACCAUCAGAUGUGCCCAGAUGGGAUUAGCUAGUAGGUGGGGUAAUGGAUCACCUAGGAGACGAUCCCUAGCUGGUCUGAGAGGAUUACCAGCCACACGGGACCGUAGACAAGGGCCAGAGUCAUACGGGAGGCAGCAGUGGGGAAUAUUGCACAAGGGGCGCAAGCCUGAGGCAGCCAUGCCGCGUGUGUGAAGAAGGCCUUCGGGUUGUAAAGCACUUUCAGCGAGGAGGCGUGACUCGCAGAAGAAGCACCGGCUAACUCCGUGCCAGCAGCCGCGGUAAUUC